AGGGAUCAUUACAGAGUUGAAAAACUCCCAAACCACUGUGAACAUACCCGUAACCGUUGCUUCGGCGGGCGGCCCCAGGGAGGGGCCGCAGCCUCCAUUGCGGAGGCGCCCGCCGGAGGACACCAAAACAUACCUAUAUUUUUGUGGCCCUUCUGAGCGAUAGCGCAAAUAAUUAAAACUUUCAACAACGGAUCUCUUGGUUCUGGCAUCGAUGAAGAACGCAGCGAAAUGCGAUAAGUAAUGUGAAUUGCAGACUUCAGUGAAUCAUCGAAUCUUUGAACGCACAUUGCGCCCGCCAGCAUUCUGGCGGGCAUGCCUGUCCGAGCGUCAUUUCAACCCUCAAGCUCUGCUUGGUGUUGGGGCACUACGGUUGACGUAGGCCCUGAAAAUUAGUGGCGGGCUCGCUGUGGGUCCGGGCGUAGUAGCGAUAUCUCGCCUGCGGCCCCCAGCAAGCUCCAGCCGUUAAACCCCCCAAAUUACAGAAGGUUGACCUCGGAUCAGGUAGGACUACCCGCUGAACUUAAGCAUAUCAAUAAGCGGAGG
Molecule: ribosomal RNA, 543 nt
Filed under: ascomycete sp. BC12
Lineage: Eukaryota; Fungi; Ascomycota
Description: eukaryotic LSU rRNA
Rfam family: 5.8S ribosomal RNA (bases 177-330)
Source: RNAcentral